AAUGAAUAUUUCUUAUUAAACAAUAAUAUAGAAAAUGUGUAUGUAUUAAUAUAUAUUUGUGUUUAUAUUACUUUUAUUUUAAAUUAGUAGAAAUAGUUUCACGUUUAAUUAAAGACAUUUUUAGCAUUUUUCAAAAUUAAUAUAUGUAUUUUAAAACGGAUUAUGUAUAUAUUUGCUUUUAUAUAAACACAGACAAUAUGUAAAGGGGACUCGGUGAUAAGACAGUUUAUGUCUUCUUCUUACUCGAGCCUAAACUUAUAUAUGAAGUAUGUUUUUAUUGAAUAUUUAUCAAACGGCAAACUUUCAAACAGGCAAAAAAAUAAAGGAGGAUUAUGUGCAUAAUUUUAAGCAAAAACUUUAUGACGAAAUGGAAGUUGUUUUUUUUUCUGUAAGAUAUUUUGUGAGAUUUUAGAAUAUUAUAACAUGAAAUGAAAUUAAAAUUUAGAGAUAAGUUAAAUAGAAAUUUCACAAUUCCUAUUUUUUCUGUGUAAAAGGAUUGAUUGCAAUGGCUCCAAUUUAAAUGCAGUUAAAAUUCGAAUUACAUAACACUUAUCCGAACAAAAGGCUUGUUGUAACACAUUAUCAAUGUUAUGUUGUAACACAUAAUCAGUUAAGUUACUCUCAUUCCAACAUUUUUCAAAUAUUUUUUCUCAAUACAUUCAUUCCAAUUAAUUUGAUAUUGUGACAUUGCAUUUAAUUUUUUUUCUCUUUAAUUCCUUUGAGAAUUAAAUUCUGUAUAAAAAAUUUAUUUUGAUUUUGAAACAAGUGAAAAACUUUUUUGUUUUAUUUAAAAAUAAGUAACACACAUCUUGGAGUUAAAACGUCAUGUCGAGUUUUCGAAAGCAUAAUUUAGGGUUUCAAGGCAGAAAAAAAGCUGUAGAAAUAGUUUUAAAAGAAUACAAGUACAAACGUACACUGGAAAAUAGUGGCUUCUUUAAAGUUCAAAAAAAAAGGCAUCCAAUAACUCUAGGUUUGACCAAGUAGUCAAGAUGGACCAUGCUACCAACAGCGUUGAUGAACCCUUGAGUUCAAAAGAGACAUCUUCCCCUUCAAACUUUUCAACCAUCGCUGGAGAAGAAGAUGAUAAUUAGAUUUAGGAUCAAGAGGUGAUUCAACUGGAUAA
Molecule: long non-coding RNA, 1123 nt
Organism: Hydra vulgaris (swiftwater hydra)
Lineage: Eukaryota; Metazoa; Cnidaria; Hydrozoa; Anthoathecata; Hydridae
Source: RefSeq, a predicted model, not a curated record